AACGUAGGACGCAAGCGUUAUCCGGAGUUACUGGGCGUAAAGGGCAGGUAGGCGGGCCGCUAAGUUGGGUGUGAAAUCUCCCAGGCUUAACCGGGAGGGUGCAUCUGAGACUGACGGUCUGGAGGGCGGCAGAGGAGCGUGGAAUUCCGGGUGGAGUGGUGAAAUGCGUAGAGAUCCGGAGGAACACCAGAGGCGAAAGCGGGGCUCUGGGCCGCACCUGACGCUGAACUGCGAAAGCCAGGGGAGCGAACGGG
This 254-nucleotide ribosomal RNA is filed under the name uncultured bacterium. RNAcentral describes it as "partial 16S ribosomal RNA". It matches the Rfam family "Bacterial small subunit ribosomal RNA", at positions 524 to 776 of the family's 1533-position model. The record is from RNAcentral.